CAUGUUAGUUAUUUUUGGACUACUUAUUGUACUGCUUUUACUCGUCAAGAAUACGAGAAACUGUUUGAAACCAAUACAAUGUUUUGUUACGAAACUGGUGGCUUUCUUUUUUUUUAUACCUUUGGCAUAACAAUCUAGUGUUCAAUUAUAUAUGACUUCACACACCAAUACAACCGUUAUUUUAGUUACCGAAUGCACUACAAAAAUUGAAGAAUAAGUCUGAAAUCGGCCUGAAAUAUUGAGUAGCUCUUUUCUUCGGGCCAGUCAUCUGCUUGACAUUUGUUUGAGUUCUUUUUCUUUUCAUUUUCGCUUUCCUGUGUACCUGGGGCACCUUCUGUUUCUUGUAAAGUUUUUCUCUCUAGUUAAUAAAAUGGAAGGACCCUUGCUAAGUUGUCAAAAAAGAAACGGAGAAAAUAUGGUUUCUUAGCCAUUAUUGUGGGCUAAGAGACAACACCUAAGGGACAAUGCAUUGGGAUUUGGGAGUGGCGAGCCGUAUGUGCCGCGCGAAUGUCGCAUACAGAAAGAAAUAUUAUACAUGUACGCUCAGGGCAAGGAAGUUCUCACAUACUGGUCCUUUCCAAGUUACAACCUAGUUUUUUUUUUUGCAAAUAACUUAUCUGUAUCCAUCUAGUAAGUAUGGGCUUACCAAAUGAAGCAUGAUGUCCUUGACUGAAAGGUUAGGAUAUUCAAAAUACUUAAUAAAUGUCCUCGUUGAAAGGUGCCUCUUCGACUUGAUAUAAACAAGAGAUCCAAAAAAAACUCGUCGUGGUUUGCACUAAAACCACGACAAGUAUUUAGAGUACUACUUACAAGAAUAAGUGCUUACGUCGUUGCGCGAUAGAAUUCUUUCACAUGUCGCUGAUGUUGGACGCCUGUGUUGAGAUUCGCAGUUCUAGCCUUCCAGGUAGGGGUCAUGGGCUUAAGGUCUACUCGUACCUUGUCCAGUUAACCAGGUCGAAUUGUUUGUAAAUUUGUUUUUUGGAAGAGAUAUGGAUCGGUGAAGGUACGAGUAUCGGUACUACAAUAACAA
This 1030-nucleotide long non-coding RNA is filed under the name Brachypodium distachyon (stiff brome). Its description in RNAcentral is "long non-coding RNA (BDIS_LNC000865)". Lineage: Eukaryota; Viridiplantae; Streptophyta; Magnoliopsida; Poales; Poaceae. The record is from RNAcentral.